This 512-nucleotide ribosomal RNA is filed under the name uncultured bacterium. RNAcentral's name for it is "partial 16S ribosomal RNA". It matches the Rfam family "Bacterial small subunit ribosomal RNA", at positions 28 to 523 of the family's 1533-position model. The record is from RNAcentral.
GACGAACGCUGGUGGCGUGCCUAAUACAUGCAAGUCGAGCGGACCAAUAGAAGCUUGCUUCUGUUGGUUAGCGGCGGACGGGUGAGUAACACGUGGGCAACCUGCCUGUAAGACUGGGAUAACUUCGGGAAACCGGAGCUAAUACCGGAUAAUUCAUCCCCUCGCAUGAGGGGAUGCUGAAAGUCGGUUUACGCUGACACUUACAGAUGGUCCCGCGGCGCAUUAGCUAGUUGGUGAGGUAAUGGCUCACCAAGGCGACGAUGCGUAGCCGACCAGAGAGGGUGAUCGGCCACACUCGGACUGAGACACGGCCCAGACUCCUACGGGAGGCAGCAGUAGGGAAUCUUCCACAAUGGACGAAAGUCUGAUGGAGCAACGCCGCGUGAGCGAUGAAGGCCUUCGGGUCGUAAAGCUCUGUUGUUAGGGAAGAACAAGUAUCGGAGUAACUGCCGGUACCUUGACGGUACCUAACCAGAAAGCCACGGCUAACUACGUGCCAGCCGCCGCAGUAA